CCCGGAAGGGGGGUGAUAUAGAUCCUGAAACCGUGUGCCUACAAGUAGUCGAAGCCCGUUAAUGGGUGACGGCGUACCUUUUGUAGAAUGGACCGGCGAGUUACGAUCCCCUGCAAGGUUAAGUUGUAUAGACGGAGCCGCAGCGAAAGCGAGUCUGAAUAGGGCGAUAUAGUAGGUGGUCGUAGACCCGAAACCGUGUGAUCUACCCAUGUCCAGGGUGAAGGUCAGGUAACACUGACUGG
RNAcentral lists this ribosomal RNA (242 nucleotides) under Terribacillus saccharophilus. RNAcentral describes it as "partial 23S ribosomal RNA". It matches the Rfam family "Bacterial large subunit ribosomal RNA", at positions 525 to 769 of the family's 2925-position model. Lineage: Bacteria; Bacillati; Bacillota; Bacilli; Caryophanales; Bacillaceae. The record is from RNAcentral.